UGAUGGCGUCAUCAACCUACUGGAACCAGAUGCCCUCACCAACCUCCAUGCAAUUGAAGAUGAUGGAGAAACAUUGUCUGCGGCAUUUGAAAGGGAAGAGGAAAGGCCUAUUGAGCAUGAAAUCGAAUUCAAUGAGAGGCCAUCCACUUCUAGCUCUACUUCACAGCUUACCUCUCUUCCAGUCAAAGAGCUCUAUAAAAUCUAUCUGGGAAAACAAAUAAACAAAGCAGACUUAGAAAUGGACCACAUAAGGCAAAAGAUGCAAAAGGAUGCUUUGGAGAUCCAAAUUUUGGAACACAAGUUAAAGGUGGGUGAUGUACAAACUGGGAUGCUGUUUCCUGCUCCAAAAACAUACCCAAUAUG
This is a long non-coding RNA of Gadus morhua (Atlantic cod), 363 nucleotides long. RefSeq lists it as uncharacterized. NCBI's taxonomy places the organism in Eukaryota, Metazoa, Chordata, Actinopteri, Gadiformes, Gadidae. The record is from RefSeq and is a predicted model, not a curated record. The transcript has 4 exons.